Molecule: long non-coding RNA, 272 nt
Filed under: Gossypium raimondii (Peruvian cotton)
Lineage: Eukaryota; Viridiplantae; Streptophyta; Magnoliopsida; Malvales; Malvaceae
Description: long non-coding RNA (GRAI_LNC004262)
Source: RNAcentral
GAGCAUUUGCCAUAUAUUUUUUUUAACUCUCCACACAUUUGCCUCAUCUGGACACUUAUCGAUCACCUUAAAAAUAGAGUACAUAAACCAUGGCCUUAGAUUUUUAUGAAAAACCCUAGAGACGGUGGAAAUUGAAUUGGAUUCAACAUAAGUCUCGCUUUACAUAUCCAACCAAAUUCAAAGAAGAUAUCUAAAGCAAUUUUGAUUGAAUCAGCUCCCCCCUCAUAGCCAAAAAUAACAAACUUUGUUGCCCAUCAAAAUAAAAAUAAAAC